UACAUGGGGUGCAAGCGUUACUCGGAAUCACUGGGCGUAAAGAGCGCGUAGGCGGCUUGGUAAGUCUGAUGUGAAAGCCCCGGACUCAAUUCGGGAAGUGCAUUGGAUACUGCUAGGCUGGAGUACAGGAGAGGUGAACGGAAUUCCUGGUGUAGAGGUGAAAUUCGUAGAUAUCAGGAGGAACAACAGUGGCGAAGGCGGUUCACUGGACUGUCACUGACGCUGAGGCGCGAAAGCGUGGGGAGCAAAC
RNAcentral lists this ribosomal RNA (250 nucleotides) under uncultured bacterium. Its description in RNAcentral is "partial 16S ribosomal RNA". It matches the Rfam family "Bacterial small subunit ribosomal RNA", at positions 524 to 773 of the family's 1533-position model. The record is from RNAcentral.